This 446-nucleotide ribosomal RNA is filed under the name uncultured bacterium. Its description in RNAcentral is "bacterial SSU rRNA". It matches the Rfam family "Bacterial small subunit ribosomal RNA", at positions 329 to 792 of the family's 1533-position model. The record is from RNAcentral.
UCCCAGACUCCUACGGGAGGCAGCAGUGGGGAAUAUUGCACAGUGGGGGAAACCCUGAUGCAGCGACGCCGCGUGAGUGAAGAAGUAUUUCGGCAUGUAAAGCUCUAUCAGCAGGGAAGAAAAUGACGGUACCUGACUAAGAAGCCCCGGCUAACUACGUGCCAGCAGCCGCGGUAAUACGUAGGGGGCAAGCGUUAUCCGGAUUUACUGGGUGUAAAGGGAGCGUAGACGGCAUGGCAAGUCAGAUGUGAAAGCCCGGGGCUCAACCCCGGGACUGCAUUUGAAACUGUCAGGCUGGAGUGCAGGAGAGGUAAGUGGAAUUCCUAGUGUAGCGGUGAAAUGCGUAGAUAUUAGGAGGAACACCAGUGGCGAAGGCGGCUUACUGGACUGUAACUGACGUUGAGGCUCGAAAGCGUGGGGAGCAAACAGGAUUAGAUACCCCCGUA